Molecule: small RNA, 122 nt
Filed under: uncultured Ewingella sp.
Lineage: Bacteria; Pseudomonadati; Pseudomonadota; Gammaproteobacteria; Enterobacterales; Yersiniaceae
Description: Leucine operon leader
Rfam family: Leucine operon leader
About the family: At least 6 amino acid operons are known to be regulated by attenuation. In each a leader sequence of 150-200 bp is found upstream of the first gene in the operon.
Source: RNAcentral
UCACUCGUCUAUCAGGCCUACUACUUAACGCAGAAAAUUUGCGCGGUAAGCCAGUGGCCGAAAAUCAGAACUGAUUUCCUCUUCCACAGACACUCAACCCGCGCCGAUGCGCGGGUUUUUUU